AAGACUAUAGACCUGCGGAGUACCUGCGGAGGGAUCAUUACCGAGUUCGCGCCCCUCGGGGCAGACCUCCCACCCAUUGUUAUCACUACGAUCGUUGCUUUGGCGGGCCCCGCGCCCGCCAGAGGCUCCGCAGACUCUGGAUGUUAGUGUCGUCUGAGUUACUAUACAAUAGUUAAAACUUUUAACAACGGAUCUCU
This 197-nucleotide unclassified non-coding RNA is filed under the name soil metagenome. Its description in RNAcentral is "partial contains 5.8S ribosomal RNA, internal transcribed spacer 2, and large subunit ribosomal RNA". The record is from RNAcentral.